CUCUGCUGGCCAUCGUCGACGAGCUCGAGAUGGAGCAGGGCCGUCGCCCAUGUCGUUCCCCUCAGUUUUUGACCUUUUUCGCGGAUCCGGUGGAGACGAUGCGAGAUCUGGUGGCGGAGAUCCGAGAUCCGGUGGCGGCGAUACGGUUGCCGCGGAGGUACCUCGUCCAGGGGAUGCGCACCUGCACUCCGGAUGGGCGGUGGACCGGGCCAUCGUCGCCGAGGACGAGUGGCUCGUCAUGAUCCGCUUCAGCCACGACUGGGACGAGCCUUGCUUGCAGAUGGACGAGACGCUGGCAGGGAUGGCCGAGAAAAUCAGGAACUUCGCGGUGAUCUGCCCAUGGCGCCUGAUUCUACAGGAAAUCGAUUGAUUGGAUUAGUUUCAUAUACAUGGUGAAGUGCAGGUUCAGCUGUGGUUCUCAUAUAAGGAAGAGUGUCAUAGCUAUUGUCAAAAUUUAGCCUCCUUCGCUUUGAGAUGGCCAACUAUUGUGUGUUUAUGAAGAGAAGUGCCUAAUCUCAAGACCAAAGGUGCUACGAGGUGAUAUUUGUGUCGUGAAACUUAUAAGAAGCAGUACAUUACUAUGCCUACAGGAAGAAGUACAAAUGAUGGUCACUGGAUUUCUGAAUACACUAUUUUGCUCUGUAUUUAGUAUGUAGUCAGGUGGAUAUGACUACGUUGAGUCAGAUGAAAGACAACGACCUCAAAGAUACUAUAUAAGCACAUGGUUAAUGGGAUGUUUAAUGAUUUCUGUUCCAUUCCUGGCUUUUAUUACCUCUUAUGGUCAGUGGGAUGGUUAGUGCUUAUAUUGUUUUAUUAUUACACUCUACUGGUUGCUGUGAUUUUGGAUGUGAGGUAGUAUGACUUAUGAAUAUGAUAUGAUCAUGGUCUAUGUUUUUCUCUCUGUGCAAAGAGCCUUCCUCUCUUGGUGGUAAGUGCAUUUAAUCUAUAUCCUUGUAUUUGUUUUGAUUGGAAAUUAAAUGAUAGGAGGUAUGGGAGGAUGUUUUUUCUUGGCUGUUGUACGUCUGCUCAGCUGCCCUAUGAGGAAAGCAUGUGUUUAUUAUUUAUCUGUAACUAAACAAUGCCCCCUCUAAAUUUUCAUGUGUGUAGUUUCCGGGAAUUUGUGCCAGCGAAUCCUAGAUUCAAAUAUAGAAAUGGAGCCCAGCGAAUCCUAGAUUUCACUUCUCAUUUGUUUUCGGUUAUUAUAUUGUAAUGAGGCCUUAAGCCUGUUUCUAACAUAAAGUUACCAUGUAAUAUGUUGAGUGAAUUAUGUUUCUUCAUGUUUACUUCAUAUGGGGCCAAAUAAUUCAGAUUCGUUCUCUUCCUCUUUCAGAUGUUGGUGGCAUUUUUUCACUGCGUCUUUCUUCCACGGAAACAACAGGAUUUCGGUCACGACUUUUACCAACACGGCUUGCUGCACGCUAGGACCUAAAGUUACCCUUGAUUUUCUGGCUUCAUCAGAGAAAGUUCUUGGAAGGCAGUUGUCGCAUAAAGCUCAGGCGGAUGUGGUGGCCAAGAAGAAGAAUGCCUAAAUAAAAAGCAGGGGUCUUUCUUUUGGUGACACAGAUUGCCAGUAGUUGUUUCCUUUCAGUCAUCUACUUACCGUGAGAUCCGAUGGUCGCAGUCCUCCCCUUUGUAGUUGGCAUGUAAAUAUGAACUAAGUUCCUGGUGCAGCGAUUACCCUGUGCACCUCGUGUGUAUGCUUGUUCUACCAUCUCCUAAUGCUAGCCAUGUGGGCAUGCUUUUGGUUCGUCCUGCUAUCAGCUGCUUCUAUGUAGUUUGUUCUAUCAUGUAAUGCCUUGCUCAGAAAAAGGACUAUUGUAAAUUCCUGAAACAAUGCUACUUUAUACUUAAUAGUGUGCAGUUUGCUCUA
Long non-coding RNA from Lolium perenne, 1870 nucleotides. RefSeq lists it as uncharacterized. The record is from RefSeq and is a predicted model, not a curated record. Lineage: Eukaryota; Viridiplantae; Streptophyta; Magnoliopsida; Poales; Poaceae.